UAAAAAAAGGUAAGCUACUAAGAGCGAAUGGUGGAUGCCUUGACUGGUAAAGGCGAUGAAGGACGUACUAGACUGCGAUAAGCUACGGGGAGCUGUCAAGAAGCUUUGAUCCGUAGAUUUCCGAAUGGGGCAACCCAAUGUAUAGAGAUAUACAUUACCUAUAUAGGAGCGAACGAGGGGAAUUGAAACAUCUUAGUACCCUCAGGAAAAGAAAUCAAUAGAGAUUGCGUCAGUAGCGGCGAGCGAAAGCGCAAGAGGGCAAACCCAGUGCUUGCACUGGGGGUUGUAGGACUGCAAUGUGCAAGAGCUGAGUUUAGCAGAACAUUCUGGAAAGUAUAGCCAUAGAGGGUGAUAGUCCCGUAUGCGAAAAACAAAGCUUAGCUAGCAGUAUCCUGAGUAGGGCGGGACACGAGGAAUCCUGUCUGAAUCCGGGUCGACCACGAUCCAACCCUAAAUACUAAUACCAGAUCGAUAGUGCACAAGUACCGUGAGGGAAAGGUGAAAAGAACUGAGGUGAUCAGAGUGAAAUAGAACCUGAAACCAUUUGCUUACAAUCAUUCAGAGCACUAUGUAGCAAUACAGUGUGAUGGACUGCCUUUUGCAUAAUGAGCCUGCGAGUUGUGGUGUCUGGCAAGGUUAAGCAAACGCGAAGCCGUAGCGAAAGCGAGUCUGAAUAGGGCGCUUAGUCAGAUGCUGCAGACCCGAAACGAAGUGAUCUAUCCAUGAGCAAGUUGAAGCUAGUGUAAGAACUAGUGGAGGACUGAACCCAUAGGCGUUGAAAAGCCCCGGGAUGACUUGUGGAUAGGGGUGAAAGGCCAAUCAAACUUCGUGAUAGCUGGUUCUCUCCGAAAUAUAUUUAGGUAUAGCGUUGUGUCGUAAUAUAAGGGGGUAGAGCACUGAAUGGGCUAGGGCAUACACCAAUGUACCAAACCCUAUCAAACUCCGAAUACCUUAUAUGUAAUCACAGCAGUCAGGCGGCGAGUGAUAAAAUCCGUCGUCAAGAGGGAAACAACCCAGACUACCAGCUAAGGUCCCUAAAUCUUACUUAAGUGGAAAACGAUGUGAAGUUACUUAAACAACCAGGAGGUUGGCUUAGAAGCAGCCAUCCUUUAAAGAAAGCGUAAUAGCUCACUGGUCUAGUGAUUUUGCGCGGAAAAUAUAACGGGGCUAAAGUAAGUACCGAAGCUGUAGACUUGCACACAACUUAGAUUAUUUAAGUUUAGAAUAUGAGAAACUAAGUUAUGUUUAGUUAUAUUUUUACUGAUUUUUAUAGAGUAAAGAUAGAAAUAAAACUUAGUAAAAUCAGUAAAAAUAUUCUUAGACUAAAGUUAAGUAGUUUAAGUUGUGUGCAAGUGGUAGGAGAGCGUUCUAUUUGCGUCGAAGGUAUACCGGUAAGGAGUGCUGGAGCGAAUAGAAGUGAGCAUGCAGGCAUGAGUAGCGAUAAUUAAUGUGAGAAUCAUUAACGCCGUAAACCCAAGGUUUCCUACGCGAUGCUCGUCAUCGUAGGGUUAGUCGGGUCCUAAGUCGAGUCCGAAAGGGGUAGACGAUGGCAAAUUGGUUAAUAUUCCAAUACCAACAUUAGUGUGCGAUGGAAGGACGCUUAGGGCUAAGGGGGCUAGCGGAUGGAAGUGCUAGUCUAAGGUCGUAGGAGGUUAUACAGGCAAAUCCGUAUAACAAUACUCCGAGAGCUGAAAGGCUUUUUGAAGUCUUCGGAUGGAUAGAAGAACCCCUGAUGCCGUCGAGCCAAGAAAAGUUUCUAAGUUUAGCUAAUGUUGCCCGUACCGUAAACCGACACAGGUGGGUGGGAUGAGUAUUCUAAGGCGCGUGGAAGAACUCUCUUUAAGGAACUCUGCAAAAUAGCACCGUAUCUUCGGUAUAAGGUGUGGUUAGCUUCGUACUAGGAUUUACUCCGAAAGCGAAGAAACUUACAACAAAGAGUCCCUCCCGACUGUUUACCAAAAACACAGCACUCUGCUAACUCGUAAGAGGAUGUAUAGGGUGUGACGCCUGCCCGGUGCUCGAAGGUUAAUUGAUGGGGUUAGCAUUAGCGAAGCUCUUGAUCGAAGCCCGAGUAAACGGCGGCCGUAACUAUAACGGUCCUAAGGUAGCGAAAUUCCUUGUCGGUUAAAUACCGACCUGCAUGAAUGGCGUAACGAGAUGGGAGCUGUCUCAAAGAGGGAUCCAGUGAAAUUGUAGUGGAGGUGAAAAUUCCUCCUACCCGCGGCAAGACGGAAAGACCCCGUGGACCUUUACUACAGCUUGACACUGCUACUUGGAUAAGAAUGUGCAGGAUAGGUGGGAGGCUUUGAGUAUAUGACGCCAGUUGUAUAUGAGCCAUUGUUGAGAUACCACUCUUUCUUAUUUGGGUAGCUAACCAGCUUGAGUUAUCCUCAAGUGGGACAAUGUCUGGUGGGUAGUUUGACUGGGGCGGUCGCCUCCCAAAUAAUAACGGAGGCUUACAAAGGUUGGCUCAGAACGGUUGGAAAUCGUUCGUAGAGUAUAAAGGUAUAAGCCAGCUUAACUGCAAGACAUACAAGUCAAGCAGAGACGAAAGUCGGUCUUAGUGAUCCGGUGGUUCUGUGUGGAAGGGCCAUCGCUCAAAGGAUAAAAGGUACCCCGGGGAUAACAGGCUGAUCUCCCCCAAGAGCUCACAUCGACGGGGAGGUUUGGCACCUCGAUGUCGGCUCAUCGCAUCCUGGGGCUGGAGCAGGUCCCAAGGGUAUGGCUGUUCGCCAUUUAAAGCGGUACGCGAGCUGGGUUCAGAACGUCGUGAGACAGUUCGGUCCCUAUCUGCCGUGGGCGUAAGAAGAUUGAAGAGAUUUGACCCUAGUACGAGAGGACCGGGUUGAACAAACCACUGGUGUAGCUGUUGUUCUGCCAAGAGCAUCGCAGCGUAGCUAAGUUUGGAAAGGAUAAACGCUGAAAGCAUCUAAGCGUGAAGCCAACUCUAAGAUGAAUCUUCUCUAAGCUCUCUAGAAGACUACUAGUUUGAUAGGCUGGGUGUGUAAUGGAUGAAAGUCCUUUAGCUGACCAGUACUAAUAGAGCGUUUGGCUUAUCUUUAUAAAGCAU
This 3070-nucleotide ribosomal RNA is filed under the name Campylobacter jejuni. Its description in RNAcentral is "23S ribosomal RNA". It matches the Rfam family "Bacterial large subunit ribosomal RNA". Lineage: Bacteria; Pseudomonadati; Campylobacterota; Epsilonproteobacteria; Campylobacterales; Campylobacteraceae. The record is from RNAcentral.